Molecule: long non-coding RNA, 514 nt
Filed under: Pan troglodytes (chimpanzee)
Lineage: Eukaryota; Metazoa; Chordata; Mammalia; Primates; Hominidae
Description: lincRNA
Source: RNAcentral
AGGUCAUAUACCAGUUAAACUGCCCCAUUUUGCCUCUUAGUUUACAUUGUGAGCCCACUCAACCAGUUCCUGAGAUACUACUGGGAAGCUGCUGAUCACCAGUUUCAGGUUUUUUCCAUCUGUUGGGAAACUGCCUAUCCCUUGUGCUCGCUGCAACCAAUUAUUAUUUUAGGGAGACAGUUAACCGCCUGACCAUCACCCGAUGAUCGCCUGAUGUUCAUGCAUCCAUGACUACAUAAACUUUUUGGCCGUUUGACCAAGUGGGGACAUCUGGCAUACUGCUAUCAACCAAUAUAAAACUACUGGAGGGUGGUUCCAAGAUGGCCAAAUAGAAACAGCUCCAGUCUACAGCUCCCAGCAUGAGCGAUGCAGAAGACGAAUGAUUUCUGCAUUUCCAACUGAGUUCACAGAUCUUCAACUCCAGAGAACUGAGUUUAAGGAGCUGUACCUGGGAAAUUGUGCCUGAAGCUGUUCCUGAGGAAUCUGCACCUGGAUCUAAUGUACAUGCUGAGAU